This 1108-nucleotide long non-coding RNA is filed under the name Rattus norvegicus (Norway rat). RNAcentral describes it as "long non-coding RNA NONRATT008160". The record is from RNAcentral. Lineage: Eukaryota; Metazoa; Chordata; Mammalia; Rodentia; Muridae.
AGACCUGGAGUCAGUUGAGAGGACAUUGAGCUGUUCAGGCUGGGCCCCCCAUCUUAGACUACGUUCUGCCACUCCUAAGCAGCUGUGAGCAUUCCUCAAGCCUUUCACCCUGAGGAUGGAAUGUAGUCUAGGACCUCUCCAUUUCGUCUGCCCAAGUGAGCUGGGGACCGAACCCAGGGCCUUGCGCUUCCUAGGUCAUAUGGGAUGCCGUCUUGGACUUUUAACUGCAAUGAAUAAAGCAGAUUCAGUCAGGUCUAUGGUAAUGAAGGCUAACAAUGGGCCUUUACAUCUGCUGACUCUUCAAAUGAAAAACGUUCUACCUCCUGCCCAGAACAGUAGAAGGAAGGCACCAUUCUUCAUUUUGAUUGGGUGGACCUGAUCUAAUUUCCUUGAACAGCAGAGACCUUAUUUCAAGUGACCUAAGUCCUUAUGUAUCUCUUUUAGAAAAUCCAGUAGUUUUAUUUGUAUUCCUAAGGUCAAAGCAGUUUGGAGAAUAUUUACAGUUGAUGGAUGAUUUAUACUUUUUUCUAUGACAAAAAUAUUAGCCUUUAAAAAUCUGAGUGAAACAGAUAUGUAGAUGGAAAUGACUCAUUACUAUCAAUAGAAGCAAAGAGUAUUAGGCCACCAUGCAUAACUGUAGUCAUCCAAAUAAGGCAAACGAACAAUGCCAGAAGAAAGACCUACAAGCCUAAUGAGGAACUGUCUGAAAAGGAGAUGCACACAGCAAAUCCAACGGUGUCUACUGCCUCCAGGCUGCAGGGGGAGCUCUUCCAUCCCUAAAGUUUCCCCAUUUGCAAAAACUGUGGCCCUUCAUCUGUCCUGAUUAAAUAACAAACCUUUUUGAGAGACAUCUCUCCUUUAUUUCUACAUUUUCUGCAUAAAUCCCAAUCAAACAGUUCAGCUCUAAUGAAUACCCUCUAUUGUGUUCAGACACUCCUCUUUUUCUGACAAUCUUUGGCUGCUUUUGAGUCUUAUGUAAAAUAGAGGUCAACAGAGCACUCUUUGUUGCAUGCAGAUUUUGCUGGUCAUUGUUUAUGUUGAUAUUCAAAGACCAAAGUGUAAAUGUUUUUUUAAGAAAUUAAACUGUAAGAGUAAAUAAUUUUCUUGA